Molecule: ribosomal RNA, 631 nt
Filed under: Amphidiniopsis bulla
Lineage: Eukaryota; Dinophyceae; Peridiniales; Amphidiniopsidaceae
Description: partial large subunit ribosomal RNA
Rfam family: Eukaryotic large subunit ribosomal RNA
Source: RNAcentral
AGAAGAAACUAAAUAGGAUUCCCUUAGUAAUGGCGAAUGAACAGGGGAGUGCUCAGUAUGGAAAUUGGGGCCUUCUUGGCCUUGAGUUGUGAUCUCGAGAUGCACAACCAACAGUGGUGCAGGUGUAAGCCUCUUGGGAAAGAGCAUCGUCGAGGGUGAGAGUCCCGCGCGUCGCCUGCAACCUCUUGUGUACGGUGUGUUUUCCAAGAGUCACGUUCCUCGGGAUUGGAGCGCAAAGUGGGUGGUAAAUUUCAUCUAAAGCUAAAUAUGGGUUCGAGACCGAUAGCAAACAAGUACCCUGAGGGAAAAGUGAAAAGGACUUUGAAAAGAGAGUUAAACAGAGCCUGCCAUUGCUGAAAGGGAAGCGAACGGCACCAGUGUGACUCGGCGAGAUUACCGCGCUGCUAACAUGAUUGCCCGCCCCCUCAACGCAAGUGUGGAGGUGUGUCUUGAUUGGGACGCGCGUGGCACUUCUUGCCUUGUCAGUCAACGUCUGUUUGCGCACGGGGAAAAAGGUGUGGGCAAGGUAGUCUCGCUUUCGGGUGAGGGAAUGCCCGCGCUGUUACUCGCGCGUGUACAGGUCGAUGACGACAUGGUUUCUUUCGACCCGUCUUGAAACACGGACCAAGGA